RNAcentral lists this ribosomal RNA (763 nucleotides) under uncultured archaeon. RNAcentral's name for it is "bacterial SSU rRNA". It matches the Rfam family "Archaeal small subunit ribosomal RNA", at positions 39 to 809 of the family's 1478-position model. The record is from RNAcentral.
CGCUGUCUAGCAUGCGAGUCAUUGUAGCAUACAAGGCAUACGGCUCAGUAACGCGUAGUCAACCUAACCUAUGGACGGGAAUAACCUCGGGAAACUGAGAAUAAUGCCCGAUAGAACACUAUACCUGGAAUGGUUUGUGUUCCAAAUGAUUUAUCGCCAUAGGAUGGGACUGCGGCCUAUCAGUUUGUUGGUGAGGUAAUGGCCCACCAAGACUAUUACAGGUACGGGCUCUGAGAGGAGUAGCCCGGAGAUGGGUACUGAGACACGGACCCAGGCCCUAUGGGGCGCAGCAGGCGAGAAAACUUUGCAAUGUGCGAAAGCACGACAAGGUUAAUCCGAGUGAUUUGUGCUAAACGAAUCUUUUGUUAGUCCUAGAAACACUAACGAAUAAGGGGUGGGCAAGUUCUGGUGUCAGCCGCCGCGGUAAAACCAGCACCUCAAGUGGUCAGGAUGAUUAUUGGGCCUAAAGCAUCCGUAGCCGGCUCUGUAAGUUUUCGGUUAAAUCUGUACGCUUAACGUACAGGCUGCCGGGAAUACUGCAGAGCUAGGGAGUGGGAGAGGUAGACGGUACUCGGUAGGAAGUGGUAAAAUGCUUUGAUCUAUCGAUGACCACCUGUGGCGAACGCGGUCUACCAGAACACGUCCGACGGUGAGGGAUGAAAGCUGGGGGGAGCAAACCGGAUUAGAUACCCGGGUAGUCCCAGCUGUAACUAUGCAACUUCACUGAUGCAUUGGCUAGCUGGCCAAUGCAGUGGCUUGCCAG